GGGAAUGGGGCCGCUAUUGCUGAUGGAAAGAAUAUCACACAUAGGUACCUUGGAAUCAUACACAGACAUCUUGUCUCUGUUUUUUCCUUCUUCAAAGUUUUACAAGUCCACUUCCUUGACAGGGGAACCAGAACUACAUAUGGUAUUUGAGAUGCAAGAUACAGUGACCU
Long non-coding RNA from Grus americana (Whooping crane), 170 nucleotides. RefSeq lists it as uncharacterized. NCBI's taxonomy places the organism in Eukaryota, Metazoa, Chordata, Aves, Gruiformes, Gruidae. The transcript has 3 exons. The record is from RefSeq and is a predicted model, not a curated record.